This 497-nucleotide ribosomal RNA is filed under the name uncultured bacterium. Its description in RNAcentral is "partial 16S ribosomal RNA". It matches the Rfam family "Bacterial small subunit ribosomal RNA", at positions 28 to 507 of the family's 1533-position model. The record is from RNAcentral.
GAUGAACGCUGGCGGCGUGCCUAAUACAUGCAAGUCGAGCGAACAGAUGAGGAGCUUGCUCCUCUGACGUUAGCGGCGGACGGGUGAGUAACACGUGGAUAACCUACCUAUAAGACUGGGAUAACUUCGGGAUACCGGAGCUAAUACCGGAUAAUAUAUUGAACCGCAUGGUUCAAUAGUGAAAGACGGUUUUGCUGUCACUUAUAGAUGGAUCCGCGCCGCAUUAGCUAGUUGGUAAGGUAACGGCUUACCAAGGCAACGAUGCGUAGCCGACCUGAGAGGGUGAUCGGCCACACUGGAACUGAGACACGGUCCAGACUCCUACGGGAGGCAGCAGUAGGGAAUCUUCCGCAAUGGGCGAAAGCCUGACGGAGCAACGCCGCGUGAGUGAUGAAGGUCUUCGGAUCGUAAAACUCUGUUAUUAGGGAAGAACAAAUGUGUAAGUAACUAUGCACGUCUUGACGGUACCUAAUCAGAAAGCCACGGCUAACUACGUG